This 879-nucleotide ribosomal RNA is filed under the name uncultured bacterium. Its description in RNAcentral is "bacterial SSU rRNA". It matches the Rfam family "Bacterial small subunit ribosomal RNA", at positions 8 to 916 of the family's 1533-position model. The record is from RNAcentral.
AGAGUUUGAUCCUGGCUCAGGAUGAACGCUGGUGGCGUGCCUAACACAUGCAAGUCGAGCGAUCUUCUUCGGAAGAGAGCGGCGGACGGGUGAGUAACGCGUGGGUAACCUGCCUCAUACACAUGGAUAACAUACCGAAAGGUAUGCUAAUACAAGAUGAUAUAAGAGAUUCGCAUGGAUUUUUUAUCAAAGCUCCGGCGGUAUGAGAUGGACCCGCGUCUGAUUAGCUAGUUGGUAAGGUAACGGCUUACCAAGGCGAUGAUCAGUAGCCGACCUGAGAGGGUGAUCGGCCACAUUGGAACUGAGACACGGUCCAAACUCCUACGGGAGGCAGCAGUGGGGAAUAUUGCACAAUGGGCGAAAGCUUGAUGCAGCAACGCCGCGUGAGCGAUGAAGGCCUUCGGGUCGUAAAGCUCUGUCCUCAAGGAAGAUAAUGACGGUACUUGAGGAGGAAGCCCCGGCUAACUACGUGCCAGCAGCCGCGGUAAUACGUAGGGGGCUAGCGUUAUCCGGAUUUACUGGGCGUAAAGGGUGCGUAGGUGGUUUCUUAAGUCAGGAGUGAAAGGCUACGGCUCAACCGUAGUAAGCUCUUGAAACUGGGAAACUUGAGUGCAGGAGAGGAAAGUGGAAUUCCUAGUGUAGCGGUGAAAUGCGUAGAUAUUAGGAGGAACACCAGUAGCGAAGGCGGCUUUCUGGACUGUAACUGACACUGAGGCACGAAAGCGUGGGGAGCAAACAGGAUUAGAUACCCUGGUAGUCCACGCCGUAAACGAUGAGUACUAGGUGUCGGGGGUUACCCCCCUCGGUGCCGCAGCUAACGCAUUAAGUACUCCGCCUGGGGAGUACGCUCGCAAGAGUGAAACUCAAAGGAAUUGACGG